This 76-nucleotide transfer RNA is filed under the name Burkholderia pseudomallei. RNAcentral's name for it is "tRNA-Ala (TGC) (tRNA-Ala-TGC-2-1)". It matches the Rfam family "tRNA". From Rfam's summary of the family: Transfer RNA (tRNA) molecules are approximately 80 nucleotides in length. Lineage: Bacteria; Pseudomonadati; Pseudomonadota; Betaproteobacteria; Burkholderiales; Burkholderiaceae. RNAcentral also lists the same sequence under 5 other names. The record is from RNAcentral.
GGGGGCAUAGCUCAGCUGGGAGAGCACCUGCUUUGCAAGCAGGGGGGCGUCGGUUCGAUCCCGUCUGCCUCCACCA